CUGGAAUGGCUUAUGGUCUAAACAGUUUACUGCCAUGGGAUGGGACUGCGGCCUAUCAGCUUGUUGGUGAGGUAAUGGCCCACCAAGGCUAUAACAGGUACGGGCUCUGAGAGGAGAAGCCCGGAGAUGGGUACUGAGACACGGACCCAGGCCCUAUGGGGCGCAGCAGGCGAGAAACCUUAGCAAUGUGCGAAAGCACGACUGGGUCAGUCCGAGUGAUUCCUGAUAAAGGAGUCUUUUAUCUGUCCUAAAAGCACAGGUGAAUAAGGGGUGGGCAAGUCUGGUGUCAGCCGCCGCGGUAAUACCAGCACCUCGAGUGGUCAGGACGUUUAUUGGGCCUAAAGCAUCCGUAGCCGGCUUUGCAAGUCUUCGGUUAAAUCCACCUGCUCAACAGAUGGGCUGCUGGAGAUACUACAAAGCUAGGGAGUGGGAGAGGCAGACGGUAUUCAGUGGGUAGGGGUAAAAUCCUCUGAUCCAUCGAGGACCACCAGUGGCGAAGGCGGUCUGCCAGAACACGUUCGACGGUGAGGGAUGAAAGCUGGGGGAGCAAACCGGAUUAGAUACCCGGGUAGUCCCAGCUGUAAACGAUGCAAACUCGGUGAUGCAUUGGCUUAUGGCCAAUGCAGUGCCGCAGGGAAGCCGUUAAGUUUGCCGCCUGGGAAGUACGGACGCAAGUCUGAAACUUAAAGGAAUUGGCGGGGGAACAUCACAAGGGGUGAAGCCUGCGGUUCAAUUGGACUCAACGCCGGU
This 750-nucleotide ribosomal RNA is filed under the name uncultured archaeon. RNAcentral describes it as "bacterial SSU rRNA". It matches the Rfam family "Archaeal small subunit ribosomal RNA", at positions 170 to 922 of the family's 1478-position model. The record is from RNAcentral.